GGAAAGGUGGUCCAGUGGUUAGGGCACUAGCUUAGGACUUGGGGGACGGGGUUCAAAUCUCUGCUAUACCA
RNAcentral lists this transfer RNA (71 nucleotides) under Chelonia mydas (Green sea turtle). It matches the Rfam family "tRNA". From Rfam's summary of the family: Transfer RNA (tRNA) molecules are approximately 80 nucleotides in length. Their secondary structure includes four short double-helical elements and three loops (D, anti-codon, and T loops). Further hydrogen bonds mediate the characteristic L-shaped molecular structure. tRNAs have two regions of fundamental functional importance: the anti-codon, which is responsible for specific mRNA codon recognition, and the 3' end, to which the tRNAs corresponding amino acid is attached (by aminoacyl-tRNA synthetases). tRNAs cope with the degeneracy of the genetic code in two manners: having more than one tRNA (with a specific anti-codon) for a particular amino acid; and 'wobble' base-pairing, i.e. permitting non-standard base-pairing at the 3rd anti-codon position. The record is from Rfam by way of RNAcentral. Lineage: Eukaryota; Metazoa; Chordata; Testudines; Cheloniidae.